RNAcentral lists this ribosomal RNA (814 nucleotides) under Choiromyces venosus. RNAcentral describes it as "eukaryotic LSU rRNA". The stretch from base 154 to 814 matches the Rfam family "Eukaryotic large subunit ribosomal RNA", at positions 1 to 672 of the family's 3401-position model. Lineage: Eukaryota; Fungi; Ascomycota; Pezizomycetes; Pezizales; Tuberaceae. The record is from RNAcentral.
UCACCACUCAAGCCUCGCUUGGUAUUGGGCAACGCGGUCCGCCGCGUGCCUCAAAUCGUCCGGCUGGGUCUUCUGUCCCCUGAGCGUUGUGGAAACUAUUCGCUAAAGGGUGUUKCGGGAGGCUACGCCGUAAAACAACCCCAUUUCUAAGGUUGACCUCGGAUCAGGUAGGGAUACCCGCUGAACUUAAGCAUAUCAAUAAGCGGAGGAGAAGAGAGAACCAACAGGGGAUUGCCUCAGUAACGGCGAGUGAAGCGGCAAAAGCUCAAAUUUGAAAUCUGACGUCCCCGACGUCCGAGUUGUAAUUUGGAGAGGCAUCUUCUGGAGGGGCCCAGCCUAUGUUCCUUGGAACAGGACGUCAUAGAGGGUGAGAAUCCCGUUCUUGGCUGGAUGUCCCCACCUGUAUGUAGUGUCUUCUACGAGUCGAGUUGUUUGGGAAUGCAGCUCAAAAUGGGUGGUAAAUUUCAUCUAAAGCUAAAUACUGGCGAGAGACCGAUAGCGCACAAGUAGAGUGAUCGAAAGAUGAAAAGCACUUUGAAAAUAGAGUCAAACAGUACGUGAAAUUGUUGAAAGGGAAGCGCUUGAGACCAGACUCAGCCUCGGGCAAACAACCCUCCUUCUGGUGGGUGCACUUGCCCUUGGCUGGGCCAGCAUCAGUUGGGAGGGCGGGAUAAAGGCCCAGGGAAUGUGGCUCCUCUCGGGGAGAGUUUAUAGCCCAGGGUGCCAUGCCGCCCCUCCCGACUGAGGACCGCGCUUCGGCAAGGAUGCUGGCGUAAUGGUCUUCAGCGACCCGUCUUGAAACACGGACCAAGGG